This 500-nucleotide ribosomal RNA is filed under the name uncultured bacterium. Its description in RNAcentral is "partial 16S ribosomal RNA". It matches the Rfam family "Bacterial small subunit ribosomal RNA", at positions 30 to 523 of the family's 1533-position model. The record is from RNAcentral.
AUUGAACGCUGGCGGAAUGCUUUACACAUGCAAGUCGAACGGCAGCACGGACUUCGGUCUGGUGGCGAGUGGCGAACGGGUGAGUAAUGUAUCGGAACGUGCCCAGUCGUGGGGGAUAACGUAGUGAGAAUUACGCUAAUACCGCAUACGAUCUAUGGAUGAAAGCGGGGGAUCGCAAGACCUCGCGCGAUUGGAGCGGCCGAUAUCAGAUUAGGUAGUUGGUGGGGUAAAGGCCCACCAAGCCAACGAUCUGUAGCUGGUCUGAGAGGACGACCAGCCACACGGGAACUGAGACACGGUCCAGACUCCUACGGGAGGCAGCAGUGGGGAAUUUUGGACAAUGGGCGAAAGCCUGAUCCAGCCAUUCCGCGUGCAGGAUGAAGGCCCUCGGGUUGUAAACUGCUUUUGUACAGAACGAAAAGGUUUCUACUAAUACUAGGAGCUCAUGACAGUACUGUAAGAAUGAGCACCGGCUAACUACGUGCCAGCCGCCGCCGUAA